GCCUUUAUGGCCACACCACCCCUGAACGCACGGGAUCUCGACUGAUUUUGGAAGCUAAGCAGAGUCGGGCCUGGCUAGUACUUGGGAUGGGAGACCCCCUGGGAAUACUGGGUGCUGAAGGCU
RNAcentral lists this ribosomal RNA (123 nucleotides) under Nomascus leucogenys (northern white-cheeked gibbon). The record is from RNAcentral. Lineage: Eukaryota; Metazoa; Chordata; Mammalia; Primates; Hylobatidae.